This is a small nucleolar RNA of Otolemur garnettii (small-eared galago), 98 nucleotides long. The record is from Ensembl. Lineage: Eukaryota; Metazoa; Chordata; Mammalia; Primates; Galagidae.
GGGCUGCGGGGCGGGCUGCAGCGCCAGAGCACAAGUUUGAACGUAACUGGGGCUGCCUGCCCACACUGUGGGUGGCCCUUUCAACCCCAGCAACACUG